Long non-coding RNA from Choloepus didactylus (southern two-toed sloth), 498 nucleotides. RefSeq lists it as uncharacterized. The record is from RefSeq and is a predicted model, not a curated record. The transcript has 5 exons. Lineage: Eukaryota; Metazoa; Chordata; Mammalia; Pilosa; Megalonychidae.
CUCAGAUGACUUCCAACUGCCAGUAUGUAGAGCUGUGCAUCUGAGGACUUUUUCCAGAACCAUGGAAAGCUGCUUUGUCUGCAUGCACUUCUUUAACUGAGUAACUGAAGCAGUCAGCCUUCAACCAGAGAAGUUCUGGGCAUCUGGGGGAAGUGGCUGAUGUCAGGGAAAAUCUGUAAAAGGUCAACACUUUGCAAGCCAAGCAGAAUAGGUCUUCCAGCCAUAUGAGACCCACAGAUCACCAGUUUGAAACCCUCAGGAUAGAACAUUUCCCAAAAGAAGUUGAAGACUUUGGAGGAUGAAAAUUACUUUCUUCUCAGCUGAACUAGAGCUAACAGCCCAAGGAAUUAUCAACUAUGUUCUUUAAAACUUUUUAAUAUAUUUUAUCAAAGGAAAUAGCAAGAUGAUUUGACAAGUAUCAACACAUGAACAAAAGCAUUGAUUGACCAUGGAUUACAACUGUGAAAUGCAAGGUUUGCAAGUGAAAUUCAUGCUACC